AACGCGGGCCGCCGCGUCCUCUCCGAGCGCGGAUCUGAGCACCGCCGCGGCCGGUUCCUCCCCCGCCCCGCCCCCUCCGGAGGGUCCCGCGCGGGUGGCGCCCGGCGGCCGCGGACAGAGGCCCAGCCCCGGUUGCUCUCCCUCCCCUCGAGAUCCAACUCAGAAAUCAUGUUUCAUUCAAGAUAAGGCUCGUGGUUCAGGAGAUUGUGACCUGGCUUGCAUCAUUCCAAGACUUCUAUCAUCUGUUUUCCAAACCCGAGGAGGACCUCGUUUUCUGUGUGAUAGUGCCUCAUGCUUUGCCAGUCACUGGGUCUUUAAGGAAGCUUGCCAGGGGUUCCCGGCUGGGAAGGACAGUUCGAAUUCAUCAUAGACAGUGAGCUGGCACCACAGUUUAAGUGACUCACCAACCUGGUUGCCCACUUCAGCAUGUCAAGAACCACGCUAUCUGAUUGAAAGAACUGUGUUUCAGCAAAGUGUAAUUGGAUUGCACGGCAAGAUCAGCUCAAACUGCUUCUGACCUUGCCUUUCAGUGGCUGUUUUGAGCACAAGAGGAGAAAGGAAAUGGUUCCUGAAUUACAUUUGGUUUUUAAAAAUUAAGACUAAUUAAUAUAUACUUGGUUUUAUGUUCAUUCCUUUGUAGGAACUUAAUGAUUAUUACGAAACAGUCAACAUAGGUCAUAGUAAAAUCAACAUUUAAGAUGAGGUUAAAACAUUCCUCUGAAAUUUUAGUAUUCACUUUUGAAGUGCCAAUUACUAUAUUUCUGUAAUUUCUCAUUUUUUCUUGGCUUAGAGUCAAGAUGAAAAAUGAUAUUUGAAUCAAAGACAUUGUUUUGUUAUAUAGCCACUGCUUUCUAAAAUGCAAAUCUACCCUGCUUCACCAGUGCUUCAUUAUUUGUGCACACACACACAGACACACACACAUACACACAGACACACACACACACAGAGCCAGCACCCAAAUGGCAGAGGAGGUCCUUUCAAGACUUUCAGGGCCUGGAUCAUGUACAUAGCAGAUGAGAAAAUGAAGUAAGAGAUAGAGAGCAAUGACAGUAAAAGUCAGUGAUUUCAGUUUAUAAAAAGUCAUUGUGUAGUACUCAGAUAUUUUUAAAGACAAGUAUUCUUAAAGUAUAGUAUAUUUCUAAAUUAUUAUGAUUCUCAUCCAAUUUCAAGUCACACAUAGGAGCCAUUUUAAAGCAUUUUGUGUUACAACCUAUCAACAAAAACCAACUAAUCGAGCUUUAUAAUGUGCAUAGGUUUACCCCAUGGGGAAUUAAAAUUUUUAUCUGCAAGUAUUUCUAUUGUUGUGAGACUUUAGGACAAGACAACAUUUGGUAUUAACAUAGAAGAAUAUUCCAUGGCUUUUUUUUUAGCUUGGAUGUUCUUUAAAAUGAAGUAUACAUAGUAUUUUUUUUUCUUCCUAGUGUUCCCUUGUUAUAUGUAGAGUAUUUUCAGUUGUUUUUAACAUAUACAUUAUUUUUAUUAAGUCAUUUGGUAAAAGAUAAAAUAUAUAAUAAUGGCCCCUUGCUUUUCUCCUAAUUUAAUUAUUUCAAGUCAAGCAAAACUGGACACUUUUCUUUCAGGAAAAAAAAAUCUUGAACAUGAUUUUGAGGCAAAAAUGAUGACUUACAGCAUCUUCUCUCCGACAGACUAGCAUUUAUGAUGGUUCUUAUUUCAAAGUUGGUUAUUCUCAAAGAAAAGGGGAGAUAUUAGAAUUUCCAAGUAAAUUGCGUUGUUUUAAAAACUCCUUGAAUGCAUUGUUCAUAUUGUUGCCAGCUACUGAGCAAGAAAGGGGAGAAGAAAAAAGAAGCAAAGCAGUAUCUGCUCCAAAUGUCAAAUUUUGCAGUUUGAAAGACUUGUAAGUUCUAAUUGCUUUUUUUUCUUUUUUGGAAAGCAGUAGUAAUUAAUACCAAAGGCAUAGACAAUUUAGGGCCGUAACCUCCCUUCCCACCGCCCCCAACCUUUUUUUUUUUUUUUUUUUUUAAACUUUAACCAUGAUAGGCAUCUCUGCAAGGUAGGUUUUAACAUAUUUUUUUCCUAAUUUUUUUCCCUCCAUUCAGUAAGAGGGAUAAGCUUUUAGAGUACCCAGUCACCGUGGUAACUGCCAAAAAAAUUCUCCUGAAGUUUGAAGAGGUCAGCUAGCAGGGCCAGCAACCCUGGCCUCUGAGCGCGGUCUAGCAUGCCCCAGCCUGCGGUUGGAGUGUCAGGCCAGAUCUGACCCUGGGAGGUGGACCAUUCUGGCUCUGAUAUAAAUUUUUCGAGUCAGUUCAUGGCCUGGACUCUCCAGGUGGCCUCCAAAAUCGAUUUUGACCCCCUGACCCUGUCUCACGGAGGCAUAGCAUCCACCCUAAGUAAGGAUUUAGCCAGGAGUGACAGCUUUCCACUGAGUGUUAUUGGGGACAGUAUAAACAGUUUGGAAAGCAAGUAAGAAGGUGUGAGUGCUAGAAGUCAUUAAGAGCACAUUAAAAAACAAUUUUAAAAAGUAUUUAUCAAAAGAAGUUUAUAAUGUGUGUCUGUUACAGAAUUCCUGUGAUCUGUAGUUUUCCAGCCAGUUUUGAAUAUAAAUAGGUCACAUAUGUUUAUCUUCUUGCAUACUUUAUUACAUAUAUUUAAAUAAGAUAGGCAUGUUUGCUACAAAAGAGGUAUAGCAGGAAUGUAAUAUGCUCAGAAGAGGCAAGCUAGUUAUUAAAACGCAUUCACAGGUGAAGAGUUUCUAAUAUUUUAAAUACUAAAAUUUUGCAUGUAUGUUUUUAAAAUGGAAGAAUAAGGAACUUUAAAAAAAAAAAAACAGCAACCUACAGUCUGGAAUAAAGAUAAACUUGUUGCAUUCAAGGUUUUUACUUUGUAAAACAAGAAGCCAAUGCACUCAUUUGAAUAAAAAUGAGAGAAAAAUAUAGAGAGUUACAUCUUAUAGAGCUAAAGAGGAAUAAAACAAA
Molecule: long non-coding RNA, 2933 nt
Organism: Cebus imitator (Panamanian white-faced capuchin)
Lineage: Eukaryota; Metazoa; Chordata; Mammalia; Primates; Cebidae
Exons: 2
Source: RefSeq, a predicted model, not a curated record